Long non-coding RNA from Puntigrus tetrazona (Sumatra barb), 1430 nucleotides. RefSeq lists it as uncharacterized. The record is from RefSeq and is a predicted model, not a curated record. The transcript is spliced from 2 exons. Lineage: Eukaryota; Metazoa; Chordata; Actinopteri; Cypriniformes; Cyprinidae.
CGGAACCGCUUUAUUUUUACCCGCAGCUCCACCGCGGUCACCCCUUUCGCGAUGACUUCACUUGUUGCGACCGUUUUUACCGGCAACGCGGUGUCAGUGUUACAGGGAGAAUGGCCAGCUUUGUGUAACGCAAUGCGCUUUAAAGAUAUAUUUAAAGAGUCUACUUGUGGCACAAAAGGUGUUAAAAACUAAAUAUAUAGUCUUAUAUUUUAUUUUAAAUAAAUAAAAUGACUUUGUACGUAAGUCGAUGGUCAUUUGUACGCUUUUGUCCAUAUAUUGUGUGUGUGGAAGUUAUAUGAGAAAUAAAAAUGUAUUAACUCGUAUACGUUUUUUUAAUAAUGAUUAUGAUUAUAUAAGUUUACGCACACGUACGCUGCUUUCAACAUCAGUGAUGUGUGAUUAUAAUAAAAUAAAUGUUUCGUAAAAAACCAUCCACUCAUUUGAAGUAAAUUAUUAGACAUUCCAUAUUAUUUUCUUUCUCUCUUUUUAACUUUUGCCCAAAACGAAUUACUUUCAGGGUAAGACCUAAAUGUGAUAAUAUUCCAGAAGUACUUAUAUUUUUAGGAUGAUAGUUUAGACGUAACAACACAGUUUGAUGUAAUUUGUUUUAUCAAUUGGUUUAAUUUUAUUCAUAAAUCGGUUUGUUUUGGUGUUAAAUCAAAAGCAUUCGCAUUUUCUGUCCUUUUCGAGACAUUCCCGUUACUGUUCACCGCAAAGCUGAUCUGUUAAAUUAAGUUUUUGCAGACACCUGGUGGUGACUAACUGUAAGUGCACGCGAGUUAUUAAUUAUUAAUGGAGAUUAGAUCAGAUUCAGACACUUAACCAGGUGUGUCCACAUGCACGAAAGAUUUGUUUCCUGAAGCCAGUUUCAAGCAAUGCUUUUGAGGCCCGACUCCUUAAUCCUAAAGAGGAUGCGGGGGACCAUGGGAGGGACCGAGUGGCGGCUGCACUCCUCGAUCCACUCCGGCAGGCUCUCGAAUGAAGCCAGGCUGGUCACGUCGUACACAAAGAUGAUGGCGUGGACGUUUCGGUAGUAAUGCUCCACCAUGCUCUUCCUGAAGCGCUCCUGUCCCGCCGUGUCCCAGAUCUGCAGCUGAGAAUGACAAUGCAAUGUGCAUCAUUGUAGAGAUUCAAUUAUACAAGAGUAUUCGUAUUUACUGACGUGCGCUUCAUAUUUAUUGUUGUUUGUAUUUUCUGUCCUUGCACUAGUUUGCACACUGGGUUCUGCGCUCUACUCCCCUGCUGUUUGCACUAGUCUGCACGCUUUGCACUUUAUGUGGCUAAGACACUGUCUUAGUUCGGCAUGUGAGUUUUAUUGUAUUGUGUGUGACUUCAUGUAGCACCAGGUCCAGGAGAAACGUCGUCUCAUUUCACUAUGUAUUGCACGGCUAUAUGUGGUUGAAAAGACAAUAAAAAGCCACUUGACUUGA